AUUAGCUCUCACUCUUUCUCUAAGUGACUUUGAGAUGAAGCAAUUUCUGGAGAGGUUUAGGAUAAGCAGCUUGGAUGUCAGAAAGGCCAAUCUCUGAUUUUAGAGAUGAAAGUACUGAAUCACAGAGCCAGCUGGUGGCAGAGCUAGGGAUCAGGGCCAUGGACCUCCUGACUGCUCAGGGAACUUGGAACCUGCUCUGUUUGCUGGUGUUUUACAGAGAGCAGAAACUGGAAGUUAGAGAGAAAGCUGAAAUAACUUGGCCCGAAGUCACUCAGCUAAGAAGUGGCUGUGUCCAAGCUCACAUUCCGGGCUAUGCUGCGUCUCUAGACUGCGGCUUGAAGCUGUAUUUGUAAAGAUGGGGGAUAGAUGCUUGCAUGUGCUCAUAGGAUUCCAAGAAGAUGUGCAGUGGGAGCAUUUACAAACGAGUCUGUCUGUCUUCACCACCAACAU
Molecule: long non-coding RNA, 450 nt
Organism: Sus scrofa (pig)
Lineage: Eukaryota; Metazoa; Chordata; Mammalia; Artiodactyla; Suidae
Source: RefSeq, a predicted model, not a curated record